CCCCACGUUCGGAUUGCAGGCUGAAAUUCGCCUGCAUGAAGCCGGAAUUGCUAGUAAUGGCAGGUCAGCAUACUGCCGUGAAUACGUUCCCGGGCCUUGUACACACCGCCCGUCACACCAUGAGAGUUGGGGAUACCCGAAGCCUGUGAGCCAACAAUAUAUUGAGGCAGCAGUCGAAGGUAGAAUCAAUGAUUGGGGUGAAGUCGUAACAAGGUACC
RNAcentral lists this ribosomal RNA (218 nucleotides) under uncultured bacterium. RNAcentral's name for it is "partial 16S ribosomal RNA". It matches the Rfam family "Bacterial small subunit ribosomal RNA", at positions 1285 to 1500 of the family's 1533-position model. The record is from RNAcentral.